GGAGAUCAGUCAGAGAAUUAAAGGACUGCAAAAAAGUUCAGGUAAGUAAUAAUAAAGCUUUGGCAGAAGCUAGCAGCCAUAUAUAUAUGGCUUUUAAGACUUUGUUGUUGUAUCCUUCUGUUGAAUAAUUUGGAACUCUGUAUGUCCAAUAUGCUUCUGAUAUGGUUCUUGCACCAUCAAUAAACUCAGCAAUGUUGAUUAUCUUACAAUCUCUUGUCGAAAACUCGAAAACCCUUAUUUCUGAAUCCGAAACAUAGACACAAAUGAAGAACAAACAAGAAAAACUGACAUUACAUUGAACAUAACAACACAUUCUUCUUCCCAGUUGCUUUAGUAUGAUUCUUCAGACUGUUUCCAUCCUCCGAAG
Molecule: long non-coding RNA, 367 nt
Filed under: Linum usitatissimum (flax)
Lineage: Eukaryota; Viridiplantae; Streptophyta; Magnoliopsida; Malpighiales; Linaceae
Description: long non-coding RNA (LUSI_LNC002162)
Source: RNAcentral